RNAcentral lists this ribosomal RNA (253 nucleotides) under uncultured bacterium. RNAcentral describes it as "partial 16S ribosomal RNA". It matches the Rfam family "Bacterial small subunit ribosomal RNA", at positions 524 to 776 of the family's 1533-position model. The record is from RNAcentral.
GACAGAGGGUGCAACCGUUGUUCGGAAUUACUGGGCGUAAAGCGCGUGUAGGCUGCUUGGCAAGUCGGAUGUGAAAGCCCUGGGCUCAACCCAGGAAGUGCAUUCGAAACUGCCGAGCUGGAGUCCUGGAGAGGAAGGCGGAAUUCUCGGUGUAGAGGUGAAAUUCGUAGAUAUCGAGAGGAACACCGGUGGCGAAGGCGGCCUUCUGGACAGUUCCUGACACUGAGACACGAAGGCCAGGGGAGCAAACGGG